CGCGUUCUGUCAGUGUUCCUUCCUCCUCUACAUCUGACACCUGACUCUACUCAGUCCUUCCCUGAUGCCUCUCUGCUCCAGACCCUGGGGAUGGAACCAGGGGGAGGAUAUGGGCCUCCUUACAGACCCUGGGGAUGGAACCAGGGGGAGGAUAUGGGCCUCCUUCCAGACCCUGGGGAUGGAACCAGAAACCACCGCCAGCAACUGAAGCGGCUUAGCAGGAUAUAUAUUCCCAGACUUCCAAUGAGAUAUGAACCACAGAUACGCUGAAGCUUACACACUCUACCACCACGUUGAACCAGUGAGAAUGAGGCGUUCGAAGCGAAAGGUUUUACUCCACCCAAAAUCUCUCCAUGACAAUAAAGAAUUUGCUACAUGAAGCUUAUUUGAUCGAAUAGAAGUUUUGUAAUGAUUAUGUUGUUAUGAAUAUACUGAUUUAAAUGAACGCACGUGGCAU
Molecule: long non-coding RNA, 457 nt
Organism: Oncorhynchus masou masou (cherry salmon)
Lineage: Eukaryota; Metazoa; Chordata; Actinopteri; Salmoniformes; Salmonidae
Exons: 3
Source: RefSeq, a predicted model, not a curated record